CCUACGGGGUGCAGCAGUAGGGAAUAUUGCCCAAUGGGGGAAACCCUGAAGCAGCAACGCCGCGUGGAGGAUGAAGGUUUUCGGAUUGUAAACUCCUUUUGUUAGAGAAGAUAAUGACGGUAUCUAACGAAUAAGCACCGGCUAACUACGUGCCAGCAGCCGCGGUAAUACGGAGGGUGCAAGCGUUACUCGGAAUCACUGGGUGUAAAGAGCGCGUAGGCGGGAUAGCAAGUCAGAUGUGAAAUCCGAAGGCUUAACCAUAGAACUGCAUUUGAAACUGUUAUUCUAGAGUAUAGGAGAGGUAGGCGGAAUUCUUGGUGUAGGGGUAAAAGGCGUAGAGAUCAAGAGGAAUACUCAUUGCGAAGGCGACCUGCUAGAAUAUAACUGACGCUGAUGCGCGAAGGCGUGGGGAGCAAACAGGAUUAGAUACCCCGGUAGUC
Molecule: ribosomal RNA, 440 nt
Filed under: uncultured bacterium
Lineage: Bacteria
Description: partial 16S ribosomal RNA
Rfam family: Bacterial small subunit ribosomal RNA
Source: RNAcentral